AUUCGUCCACAAUAUCAAGUAAGUGAUUAUUAUACUACUUCUUUGCAUUAUUUUGGUUGAAAUUUUCAAAUUUUUGUAGAAAAUUAACAUUUUUAGGUUUUUAAAAAAUUGUCUCGCAUGUUAAAGAUUAUGAUUGUUAGUGAUGAUUUAACUUAGGAAUUGUUGUUUAGAUGUUGUUUAGGGUACAAUGUGGUAGUUUAGGGUUUAGAAAAUGUAAGAUUACAUAGUUGUUUGAAAAAUGCACACUACGUGUUCGGUGAAAUGUCUCAAUGAUAUUUUUUUUUAUUUUUUUGGAUUGUUAAUGAAGUAAUUAGUUAGAGCUAUGUUUGUUAAUGUUGAUGAUAGUUAAUUUGACUGCAAUGUGGUAGUUUAUGGAUUCAAAUGACAUUGUCGAUAUUAUAGAUAGUGUUGUUGUAUUAUUAAAGAUGACACAUGUGUUGCUAUCGAAAUUAUGUGCAAAAGUGUUAAAGAUUUUUUUUCUUUUUGUGCAGAUAUGUCUGAGCAGGAGAGGAAUGACAUUUUUAGGGCUGGGAGGCGUGCCUCGACUGGUAGUGCACGGAGGGAGAAGCAAGCGUUACAGCCUCCGGCUGGUCGACGUCGAGGGAGACUGGGGGCCACGAGUCUUGCUACUGUUGAUGUUGCGGGGGGAUCGACGUCACACAGACGGGUGCAUCCCAGAUUGUGGACCCGCCACAGUACCAGCCUGAGCAACAUUAUCAGGA
Molecule: long non-coding RNA, 722 nt
Filed under: Medicago truncatula (barrel medic)
Lineage: Eukaryota; Viridiplantae; Streptophyta; Magnoliopsida; Fabales; Fabaceae
Description: long non-coding RNA (MTRU_LNC002561)
Source: RNAcentral